Molecule: long non-coding RNA, 223 nt
Filed under: Prunus persica (peach)
Lineage: Eukaryota; Viridiplantae; Streptophyta; Magnoliopsida; Rosales; Rosaceae
Description: long non-coding RNA (PPER_LNC004785)
Source: RNAcentral
CCCCUAGAAUAAAUUAGUAAGGAAAAAGUUGACUUUUUGACCGGGAGGGAAUUUGGGAUUUUCACUUGUACCGUUGCGUGGAGCGCGACGAAACGAGUCCAUAGACACGUAGUGGGCUCGAAUUGGAGUUAUAAUGAAGGAAAUAUGAUUAAAUUACAUUCAUGGGCAAAACUGUAAUUUGCCAGAAAAUGAGAUUUUAAAAAUCUGACUCUAUUUGUUUUUU